RNAcentral lists this ribosomal RNA (497 nucleotides) under uncultured bacterium. Its description in RNAcentral is "partial 16S ribosomal RNA". It matches the Rfam family "Bacterial small subunit ribosomal RNA", at positions 28 to 507 of the family's 1533-position model. The record is from RNAcentral.
GAUGAACGCUGGCGGCGUGCCUAAUACAUGCAAGUCGAGCGAACAGACGAGGAGCUUGCUCCUCUGACGUUAGCGGCGGACGGGUGAGUAACACGUGGAUAACCUACCUAUAAGACUGGGAUAACUUCGGGAAACCGGAGCUACUACCGGAUAAUAUAUUGAACCGCAUGGUUCAAUAGUGAAAGACGGUUUUGCUGUCACUUAUAGAUUGAUCCGCGCCGCAUUAGCUAGUUGGUAAGGUAACGGCUUACCAAGGCAACGAUGCGUAGCCGACCUGAGAGGGUGAUCGGCCACACGGGAACUGAGACACGGUCCAGACUCCGACGGGAGGCAGCAGUAGGGAAUCUUCCGCAAUGGGCGAAAGCCUGACGGAGCAACGCCGCGUGAGUGAUGAAGGUCUUCGGAUCGUAAAACUCUGUUAUUAGGGAAGAACAAAUGUGUAAGUAACUAUGCACGUCUUGACGGUACCUAAUCAGAAAGCCACGGCUAACUACGUG